UGGCCAUGUCACGUUAAAACACCGGUUCCCGUACGAUCACCGAAGUUAAGCAUCGUUGAGCCUGGUCAGUACCGGGA
This is a non-coding RNA of Acanthosepion pharaonis, 77 nucleotides long. Lineage: Eukaryota; Metazoa; Mollusca; Cephalopoda; Sepiida; Sepiidae. The record is from the annotation of a GenBank genome assembly.